RNAcentral lists this transfer RNA (74 nucleotides) under Sphaerodactylus townsendi. RNAcentral's name for it is "tRNA-Pro". Lineage: Eukaryota; Metazoa; Chordata; Lepidosauria; Squamata; Sphaerodactylidae. The record is from RNAcentral.
GCGGAUCUGUGGCUCAGUGGCAAAACUUCAGCUUUGGGUGUCGAAGGACUCGGGUUCAAUCCCCAGCAGCAGCU